RNAcentral lists this ribosomal RNA (494 nucleotides) under uncultured bacterium. RNAcentral describes it as "partial 16S ribosomal RNA". It matches the Rfam family "Bacterial small subunit ribosomal RNA", at positions 28 to 507 of the family's 1533-position model. The record is from RNAcentral.
GACGAACGCUGGCGGCGUGCUUAACACAUGCAAGUCGAACGGUUAAGCGCCUUCCUUUUUGGUGGGUGUGGAUGAGUGGCGAACGGGUGAGUAACACGUGAGUAACCUGCCCCCUUCUUCUGGAUAACCGCAUGAAAGUGUGGCUAAUACGGGAUAUUCUGGGUCUGUCGCAUGAUGGGUCUGGGAAAGAUAUUGUUUCGGUGGGGGAUGGGCUCGCGGCCUAUCAGCUUGUUGGUGGGGUGAUGGCCUACCAAGGCGGUGACGGGUAGCCGGCCUGAGAGGGUGGACGGUCACACUGGGACUGAGACACGGCCCAGACUCCUACGGGAGGCAGCAGUGGGGAAUAUUGCACAAUGGGCGCAAGCCUGAUGCAGCGACGCCGCGUGAGGGAUGGAGGCCUUCGGGUUGUGAACCUCUUUAGCCAGUGAAGCAGGCCUGCCUCGUUUGUGGGUGGGUUGACGGUAGCUGGAUAAGAAGCGCCGGCUAACUACGUG